This is a long non-coding RNA of Dama dama (fallow deer), 17305 nucleotides long. RefSeq lists it as uncharacterized. The transcript has 3 exons. The record is from RefSeq and is a predicted model, not a curated record. NCBI's taxonomy places the organism in Eukaryota, Metazoa, Chordata, Mammalia, Artiodactyla, Cervidae.
CAGAGAAGGCACUCUUUAGAGUUAAUAUGUGUUAGAAUAAGAGAAAUUCUCUUUGUUGGUGCUGCUGUUUACUCAUUAAGUUGUGUCCAGCUCUUGCAACCCCAUGGACUGUAGACAGAGGCUAGGCACCUCUGUCUAUGGAAUUCUCCAGGCAAGAAUACAGGAAUUGCCAUUUCCUUCUCCAGGGAAUCUUCUCAACCGCUUCCCAGGGAUCGAGCCUGCAACUCCUACAUUAACAGGUGGAUUCUUUACCACUGAGCCACCAGGGAAGCCCCCAAAAUUCUCUUAAGAAAUAUUAUUUGGCCAAUCAAAACCAUCCUACAAUCCUAACUAAAACCACUUUCAUCCGCCUUCAUACAUGCUAUGAUAUCUAACACAGGAUCAUAAAAUAGAUCUGAAGGCAAUAUAAUUAACUGAAAAAUUCCAUCAAUGUAUUAAAAAAAGUCAUCUUGUUUUAACUGUAAUAUGGACAAAGAAAGAUCUAUAUAUCAACAUAACUGUUGGCAGAUUGAUCUUCACCAAAUCUGGCAAAUUACUAAUGUGUGGCAAGAUACAGUUCAAACUGUAACCACCUAACAAAGUUUUCAACUGGGCAUAUCUUCCAUUGACAAUAUUUUAUUUAUUUUAACCCAUUUUGGUAUGUGAACAGAAAGUACAGAAAGGUAAACUGUAGUUCAGUUCAGUUCAGUCGGUCAGUCGUUUCCGACUCUUUGUGACCCCACGGCCUACAGCACGCCAAGCUUCCCUGUCCAUCACCAACUCCUGGAGCUUGCUCAAACUCAUGUCCACUGAGUCAGUGAUGCCAUCCAACCAUCUCAUCCUCUGUCGUCCCCUUCUCCUCCUGCCUUUCAUCUUUCCCAGCAUCAGGGUCUUUUCCAAUAAGUCAGUACUUCACCAUCGAGUGGCCAAAGUACUGGAGUUUCAGCUUCAGCAUCAGUCCUUCCAAUGAAUAUUCAGGACUGAUUUCCUUUAGGAUGGACUGGUUGGAUCUCCUUGCAGUCCAAGUGACUCUCAAGGGCCUUCUCCAACACCACAAUUCAAAAGCAUCAGUUCUUCAGAACUCAGCUUUGUUUAUGAUCCAACUCAUACAUCCAUACAUGACUACUAGUAAAACCAUAGCUUUGACUGGAUGGACCAUUGUUGGCAAAGCAAUGUCUCUGCUUUAUAACAUGCUAUCUAAGUUUCUCAUAGAUUUUCUACCAAGGAACAAGCAUCUUUUAAAAUUUCAUGGCUGCAGUCCCCAUCUGCAGUGAUUUUGGACCCAAGAAAACAAAGUCACUGCAUCCAUUGUUUCUCCAUCUAUUUGCCAUGAAGCGAUGGGACCAGAUGCCAUGAUCUUAGUUUUUUGAAUGUGGAGUUUUAAGCCAACUUUCUCCCUCUCUUUCAUCAAGAGGCUCUUUAGUUCCUCUUUGCUUUCUGCCAUAAGGAUGGUGUCAUCUACAUAUAUGAGGUUAUUGAUAUUUCUCCCAGCAAUCUUGAUUCCAGAUUGUUGCUUCAUCUAGCCCAGCAUUUCACAUGAUGUACUCUGCAUAUAAGUUUUAAAUAAACAGCGGACAAUAUACAGCCUUGAUAUACUUCCUUCCCAAUUCGCAACCAGUCCAUUGUUCCAUGUCUGGUUCUAACCGAUGCUUCUUGACCUGCAUACACAUUUCCACAAGGUAGGUAAGGUGUUCUGGUAGUCCCAACUCUUUAAGAAUUUUCCGUAGUUUGUUGUAAUCUACACAGUGAAAGGCUUUGGCAUAGUCAAAUAAAGCAGAAGUAGAUGUUUUUCUGGAACUCUCUUGGUUUUUCGAUGAUCCAAUGGAUAUUGGCAAUUUGAUCUCUGGUUCCUCUGCCUUUUCUAAACCCAGUUUGAACAUCUGGAAGUUCAUAGUUCAUGUACUGUUGAAGCCUAGUUUGGAGAAUUUUGAGCAUUACUUUGCUAGUGUGUGAAAUGAGUGUCAUUGUGCAGUAGUCUGAACAUUCUUUGGCACUGCCCUUCUUUGGGAUUGGAAUGAAAACUGACCUUUUCCAGUCCUGCAGCCACUGCUGAGUUUUCCAAAUUUGCUGGCAUAUUGAAUGCAGCACUUUCAUAGCAUCAUCUUUUUUAGUAUUUGAAAUAGCUGAACUGGAAUUCCAUCACUUCCACUAUUUUUGUUCGUAGUGAUGCUUCCUAAGGCCCACUUGACUUCACACUCCAGGAUAUCCAGUUCUAGGUGAGUGAUCACACCAUCGUGGUUAUCAUUUCUGUGUAUUCCUGCCACCUCUUCUUAAAUCUCUUCUGCUUCUAUUAGGUCCAUACAAUUUCUGUCCUUUACUAUGCCCUUCUUUGCAAGAAAUGUUCCCUUGGGAUCUCUAAUUUUCUUGAAGAGAUCUCUAGUCUUUCCCAUUCUAUUAUCUUCCUCUAUUUCUUUGCAUUGAUCACUGAGGAAGGCUUUCUUAUCUCUCCAUGCUAUUCUUUGGAACUCUGCAUUCAGAUGGGUUGUCUUUCCUUUUCUCCUUUGCCUUUAGCUUUUCUUCUUUUCACAGCUAUUUGUAAGGCCUCCUCAGACAACCGUUUUGCCUUUUUGCAUUUCUUUUUCUUCGGGAAGGUCUUGAUCACUGCCUCCUACACAGUGUCACAAACCUCCAUCCUUAGUUCUUCAAGCACUCUGUCUAUCAAAUCUGAUCCCUUGAAUCUAUCUGUCACUUCCAUUGUAUAAAGGUAAGGGAUUUGAUUUAGGUCAUGCCUGAAUGGUCUAGUGGUUUUCCCUACUUUCUUCAAUUUAUGUAUUAAUUUUGCAAUAAGGAGCUCAUGAUCUCAGCCACAGUUAGCUCCUCAUCUUGUUUUUGCUGAUGGUACAAAGUUUCUCCCAUCUUUGGUUGCAAAGAAUAUAAUCAAUCUGAUUUCAGUAUUGACAUCUGGUGACGUCCAUGUGUAGAGUCGUCUCUUGUAAUGUUGGUAAAGAGUGUUUUCCUAUGACCAGUGUGUUCUCUUGGCAAAACUCUGUUAGCCUUUGCCUUGUUUCAUUUUGUACUUCAGGGCUAAACCUGCCUGUUACUCCAGGUAUCUCUUGACUUCCUACUUUUGCAUUCCAGUCCCCUAUAAUGAAAAGAACAUCUUUUUUGGGUGUUAGUUCUAGAAGGUCUUGUAGGUCUUCAUAAACUGUUCAGCUUCUUUGGCAUUAGUGGCUGGGGCAUACACUUGGAUUACUGUGACAUUGAAUGGCUUGCCUUGGAAAUAAACAGAGAUCAUUCUGUCAUUUUUGAGACUGCAACCAAGUAGUGCAUUUCAGACUCUUGUUGACUAUGAGCGCUACUCCAUUAUUCUAAAGGAUUCUUGCCCACAGGAGUAGAUAUAAUGGUUAUCUGAAUUAAAUUUGCCCACUCCGGUCCAUUUUAAUUCACUGAUUGCUAAAAUGUAGAUGUUCACUCUUGCCAUCUCCGUUUGACCACUUCCCAAUUUUCAUGGACCUAACACUCCAGGUUCCUAUGCAACACUGUUCUUUACAGCAUCAGACUUUACUUCCAUCACCAGUCAUACCCACAAUGUUGUUUUUGCUUUGGCUCUACUUCUUCAUUCUUUCUGGAGUCAUUUCUCCACUCUUCUCCAAUAACUUACUGGGCACCUACUGACCCAGGGCUCUUCAUCUUUCAGUGUCAUAGCUUUUUGCCUUUUCAUACUGUUCACAGGGUUCUCAAGGCAAGAAUACUGAAGUGGUGUGCCAUUCCCUUCUCCAGUGGACCAUGUUUUGUCAGAAGUCUCCGCUAUGACCCAUCCGUCUUGGGUGGCGCUACAGAGCACGUCACAUAGUUUCACUGAAUUAGACAAGGCUGUGGUCCAUAAGAUCAGUUUGGUUAGUUUUCUAUGAUUUUGAUUUUCAUUGUCUGCCCUCUGAUAGAUAAGGAUAAGAGGCUUAUGGAAGCUUCCUGAUGAGAGAGACUGACUUCAGGGGAAACUGGGUCUUGUUCUGAUGCCUGGGGCCAUACUCAGUAAAUAUUUAAUCCAAUUUUAUGUUGAUAGGCUGUGUCCUCUCUCCAAUUCAGGUUUAUUCUGUAAAGAACCACUGGCAAUAGGUAAGACACUUUAUCAUCUUCUAACAAUGAAGACAUAUAUAUGUGCCUUCACACACAUACACAUAUAUCACAUAGUCUUUAGAUCAAUUCUAAAUAUCUCCUUCUUUCCAGAUAUCCUCCAAAUCACAAGGACACAAAAGCUGUAUCAGGAAAUUCCCCAGAACGGCUGUAUUCCAAGCCAAGCCACCUAAGGUCAGCUUAAACUUGGACCAGUCUGGGUAAGGAAAAAAAGGAGCAUAUGGUUUACAAGCAAUUCCCUCUUGCCGACUGACUGUAGGUCUGAGUUCCAAGCAGCCUGCUUCCACACAGCCAGAUUUCCCCAAAUAAUUUAAACAUUUAUACUAUAAGGCAUUGAUCUAGACAUCACAGCAUUACCACAGUUAGGACUAUAGUAACAGUGUGCCAAAGCCAGGAAAAAAGAAUACUUGACCUUUUUUCAGAGAAAGGUAGUGAAAACAGAGAAGAUAGUCUGUUUUCAAUAGCUAACGAGCAUUAGAUUUUUCUAACAUUACUAAAUUACUUUCCUUAGUGAUUUUUGCUUGUUUUUACUAGCAUCACUUUGCACAAUGAGGAAGUCUCUUAAACUCUAGCUAUUCUAAUUAAGCUGGAUUUAACCAUUUAAAAAUAUGUUCACCUCUUGAUGACCUACGUCCUUUUAAAUUUGAAGUUCCUUCCGAUUUUACUCUCACUCAAACCUAUACCUCUUUUAAAACAUAGUGAAAGAUCCGUCUCCAUAAGGUCUAAUCUCUUUUUAACAACAGAUUUAUUUUUAAAGAGAGAUUUAUUUUCAUAUUCUUAAAUUUACACCAUACUUACCAUUAUAUUGAACUACUUUGUUUUCCCUAUGUUCCAAGAAAGUCAAAAGGCCUCAGAGGCCAUUCUUUAUUAUGAACCCCACAAACUAAGCCGAGAACAGUGCUGGACAUACGGAAGAACUUUUAAUGUAUAUGGCCCCAACUUUAGGUGACAUACAAGAAUUAGCUGGUGGCAGAGGGCAGGCAAAGUAUUAGAAAAACAUGACAAGUAAUUUUCUAAAACAUUUCAAGGGUCUGUGAGCAUAUGAAACCUGUGGUCUUGUUAUCUAGGUACAACUAGUCUCAAGAAAAAUGUUUAAAUUAAUUUAAAUGGUCAAGUAAAUAGUUAACUUUUAAUCUUUUAUGUUUAGAAAUGUUUUUAAAUGUAUUAAAAAAAUAAAAGGGUGAAAUAUGUGGAAAGAUUAUACAAAUUAAGGUUAGUAAAGUUCAUAUUUAAAUGAAAGAUUAUUUUACAUAGUUUAAAAAGAAACAACAGAUCCAAAAUGGAUCUGUUAUUUGUGUAAGCCCCACACCAGCCAACCAAGACUUAAUAUCUAACCUAAUUGCCGACUCAAGCCAUCCCAGAAACUUCAUCUUAAUCAAUCAGUCUGGAAUUUCCUGGGCAGCACUAGUGAGGUAAUCUGUCACAUAGACACCCCUGCCACCCCUUAAAGGAAAACAAUCUUGCUACAACCAAUCUGCCUUCUGCUAGUGUAACUUCCUUGUCCCUGCCCCCUCUGCCUUUAAAACUUGGAGCUCCCUUCUACUUGCUAGAUGGGAUGCUGCCUGAUUCAUGAAGUGCUUAAUAAGCCAACUAGAUCUUCAAAUUUACUCAGCUGAAUUUUGUUUUUUAAAAAUAAGAAAGAAAGUGAAAGAAAGUGAAGUCACUCAGUCGUGUCCGACUCUUUGCGACCCCAUGGACAGUUGCCUGCACCAGGCUCCUCCACCCAUGGGAUUUUCUAGGCAAGAGUACUGGAGCGGGUUGCCAUUUCCUUCUCCAGGGAAUCUUCCCAACCCAGGGAUCAAACCCAGGUCUCCCGCAUUGUAGACAGACGCUUUACCGUCUGAGCCACUAGGAAAGUAACAAUACUAUAUAACAAGUUCUAGGCAACAUUCAGAAAACAGUCAUCUUUAGCAGUUUAAAUUAAGAGUAGUUCACUUUUUUAUUAACUCAUCAAAUUCAGAAGUGAAAAUAUUUAAUACCUUUUCAAAAAUGAUUAAUAGAGACUAGUGGAAUAUACUUCCAGGUAUACAGCAAAAGAAUUUAAUGUAUACCAAUUAGCAGCUUUUCCAAAUAUAUCUAAAUGCUUAGUUUUUGUCAGAAGAAAAAUUAAAACUAUGUAAAUACUGGAAACAUUUAACUGUAAAAUCUGACAUAGAAAGUUCAAUUUUCUGACUCUGCGACCCCAUGGAUUGUAGCCCACCAGGCUUCUCCGUCCAUGGGUUCUCCAGGUGAGAAUACUGGAGUGGGUUGCCAUUUCCUUCUCCAGGGGAUCUUCCCGACCCAGGGAUCGAACCUGGGUCUCUCGCAUUGCAGGCAGAGGCUUUAACCUCUGAGCCACCAGGGAAGCCCUAUUUAAAACACUAGUAUAAACUAUAUUGUGAAAAUUCCUUCUUUCAUGAAGUAAAUAUUCAAACUGAUGUACACAUUUUAUAAAACAAAGUACCAUCCCAGCAUUUCUCUUUACAUUCAAUUAAGUAUCAACAGAACAGAGAUCAAAGAUUAUCAGUAGUAGAUUCCAACACUGCCCUUAAGACUGGGGACCUUAGGGACCUUGUGAUGUGGUUAUGGUCUUCCUUACCCUACUGCCCCACAAGCAGCACUGUACUUCUAACAAAGCAAGCACUGCCUUAACGGUGCAUCCCCAGCCUGGCAGGCAGCUCAGUCGCCUGUCUGGUCUAAACAGGUAAAAGGCAAGGCAGAUGAUCAGAGCAAGAUUUUAGGCCCUUGAUGUAUUCAGAGAUUCUGGAUAAUCCAAAGUAAAAUUCACAAACCAUAGUUGAUAACUUUGUUAAAGAUUCUCUUAAGAAAUGAAAAAAGAAUCACAUAAAGGGAAAUAACUAAAUAAGCUCUAAAAUACUUCACUUUUCCAACAAUACAUAAAGUCUACACUUAAUUCUUUUAGAGCAUAACUUAUAUGAGGAAAACAUGGAAAGAGUUCAGCUAAGUAAAUUCACUGUAUGACCAAAUGUCAUGUAUCCUUCAGAAUCUACUACAUAAACACCUACCAAAAUUACAAAAGAAAUCUGGGAUCUAUUUCUAAUACCAACCCAGCAUCUAAAGUCAAAAACCCAGGAGUCAUCUUUGAUUCCCUUUUCCUUCAAAUCUCAUAUCUAAUCUAUCAACAACUCUGUCAACUUUACAACCGAAUAGAUCCUAAAUCCAACCAUUUCCCACAAUUUAAAGGAAAUGUGAGUCACUGCUCACUUUGAGUAUGAGCCACUAUUAUCUUUUCUCUGGUACUCCUACAACAGUCUCUUAACUAGUUUCCCUGCCUCCAUUUCUAGCCUUCUUCCCCCAUUUUUAUGGUUUUUAAGCAUAAAACCAGGUCAUAUCAGUCAGCUGCUUAAACUGUCCAGUGAUUUCCCACAGUAAUUAAAUAAAAUUUAAAAUUUACCUCCGGUGAUAAGACUGUAACCUGGAGUACCUAUUACACUGGGAAAACAUCUUGGCCCCUUAACUUUGCAAGUCUGUUCCCAGGCCUUGCAGUUGCUGAGUUCCUUCUAUUUGGAAUGUUAUCUGCCUAGAUCUUCAUUAAGUUAUUCUCUUCUCAUCACUCAGGUCUUAGCUCAUUUUUAUUUCACAAAGAGGUCUAUCCUACUGUUUUAGCUAAAAUUACCCUAGCAGCCCCACCCCACGCUCACACUGACCCUUCAGAAACUAUUUUAUUUGCCUUUUAGUAUUUAGUACUUUAAAUUCUUUCUUCUAUCCAAUAGGUUUGAGACCAAGGACUUGGUCAAUCUUCUAUAUCACUUAAUACGCAGCCAACAGGUAUUACCUGGGUCAGUGUUUGGAAUAUACUUCGAGCUGACAGACAUGAUGACCGACUUGGAAGGCAUGUGAAGAAAGACAGCAAAUCUUCCAAUCUGAAUCCUUAAAUGACUGUGUGAAGCAGAGUAAACACUUAAUCUAAUAAUAUGGUAAAGUACUCUCAAUUUUGCAUCAAGGUCCAGAACGACACUUGACAGAAGACAACUCAAGCAUCUGAGGCCUGGGAAUCACAAUUGGAAAACCAGUGGAAGCCCUUCCAUCAACCCCAGAACCUCCCUGUGCUACUGGGGCAUUCUAGGACCACAAGAUAUUUAAGAGGGACCUCCUUAAUCCAAACCGCUCAUCCAAGUUUCAGUUAAACUUGGACUACUUCUACAAUUCAAAGCACAAUGAUUUGAUCAAAAAAGGUAAUUUAUCAAUCUCCUAAACAUUCCAUUUUGUUUUGGGUAGGGAGCAAAACAGCUUUCAAAAUCCUAUGGCAAGGUUCCGUCUCUGCACAUCUCUGCGCUGGCUCUAUCCUCAGACCCCAUACUGUCUCAAGGUGAUUGCUAUAGCAACAGCCCCUUCUUGCUCUCAGGUGCACACCUUACAGGUAAGAGACCUCACUCAAUACACGUGCAGCUGUUGCGGUCAAAGUUGCUCAAUCAUGUCCAACUCUUUGCAACCCCAUGGAUUCUCUAGGCCAGGAGACUGGAGAGGGUAGCCUUUCCUUUCUCCAGGAGAUCUUCCCAACCCAGGGAUCAAACCCAGGUCUUCCACAUUGCAGGUAGAUUCUUUACCAGCUGAGCCACAAGGGAAGCCCAAGAAUACUGGAGUGAGUAGCUUAUCCCUUCUCCAGUGGAUCUUCCCAACCCAGGAGUCAAACCAGGGUCUCCUGCAUUGCAGGCUGAUUCUUGACAACAUGGAACCUUAGGAAAAGUCUCAAAUCCCUGGACAGAAAGACUAUAAGGCUCCAACAAAAAAAAAAAAAAGACUGUAAGGCUCUAACUAGCCAAACCUGAGUAACACUUUAUCUAGGGAGCCAGAAGUGAAGUCAGCUCCAUAGGUUCAUGGACAAAGCAGAGAUAAAAGCUGGAACCUCAAAAACAAACAAAAAAGCUCAAGGCUAUUAGGAAGUAAAGUAAGUAGGAAGCAGGGUAAAUUGGUAGGAGAUGCCAAAAUAUGUCCAAUACAAUAACUACCUACUCCAAAGAAAGGCCAAUAUCAAGCUAUAUUCAUGAAAGUUGAGAGCUUAUCAAGCUAUAAUAAAUCUAGAAAAUAAUGUACAAAUCGAAUUCACUUUCAGGAAACUCAUGUAAAGCCAGAGACAAAUAACAAAAAAACUUUGUGAAGUACAAAAUUCAUUCAAUUCCUGUUACCCCAAGUAUCUAUAAAAAUAGACAAAUCUUAUGAGUAUUUAACAGUUGUUAGAAAAUCCCAUUAUACACUAAAAUGACCUAAAAUCCCCAAAGCAGAAAUUUGGUAACUGAAAACCCCAGAGUGAAAUGAACUUAAACCUUAUGAACAAGCCCAGUGAUGGAAGAUGAGUCAGUAAACAAUUAUUACAUUCAGUAAAAUAAAACAUUAAAAUCACAGCAUUAAAAAAAGAGGAUACUGGAAUUUCCUAGUGGUAAGUUCCUGCCAGGUGGAUAAGAAUUCACCUACCAAUACAGGGGACAUGGGUUCAAUCCCUGGUCUGAGAUGAUUUCACAAGGCACAGUGCAACUAAGCCUGUACACCACAACCACUGAAGCCCACGUGCCUAGAACCUGUGCUAUGCAAUAAGAGACGACACUGCAAUGAGAAGCCCGCACACCACAACAGAGCCCUCUCACUACAACUAGAAAAAGCCUGCACGCAGCAAAGACUCAGCACAACCAAAACAUUAAAAAAAAAAAAAGAUAUCAAUGCAACUUGCCACAUUUUAUAUUAAAAAUGGUCAAUAACUCCAUUAUCUUUAUGACUCAGUAUGUUUGGCUGCCAGUUCCUACCUGUCCUAGAGAUAUAGGUUACUAAUUUAAAUGGGGGAAAAAAAGAAAAAGGACAAAACCAGUGCAUAACCUUUACAUUGCUUACCAAAACAGGUUAUUUCUUAAUCUUCUUAUGUUACACUCUAGUGUGUAUCUUUGCAUUUCACAUAAAGCCAAUGAACUGACCUCUGUAUAACUUAGCUAUCUACUCUCCAAGUAAGCUCCUAAGUUCUGAAAGUGGUACUUUUCUUAGUUUCUUUCCUUUUUAUGAUAUUCUAAAUUUGGGCACAUUUUAUGUUAAGUAGGUUCUUGGCAAACCUCCUCCUGGUGACUGGUUUACAGAUGUGCAGGCACAAGCACAUCUUCAAAGAGCCAUGGGAAACCAGGAUGCCUCUCUAGAUAUGAACAACUGCCUCUCCAAGUCACACUACAGUGAGAAUGAAAUAGUAUGGAUAGCGUUAACUAGGGUCUUUGAUGACAUCCUGAAGCCACUAAAUCAACUUACCUUAAACCCUGCUCAACCUCUGGACCUCUUCUUACGAAAGUUAAAAGAUUCCCACACUGUUUAAACCAUUUCAACUGGACUUUCUGUUACUCGGCUGAAAUCACUCUAACACAAGUGAGAUGGCUAAUUCUACGUGUAAACUCAGCUACACUAUAGUACCCAGAUGCUUGCUCAUAAACCAGUCUAGAUGUUGUUGUGUACAGGUAUUUUAGAUUUAAUUAACUUUUAUAUCAGUAGACUUUGAGGAGAGACUUCAUAUGAAGUCUUAAGAGAACAGACUGAGGUCCCUUAAAGAAGAAAGAAUUCUGUUCCAGACUGCCUCUGAACUCAAGACUGCAACAACUCCUGCCAGAAUUUCCAGCUUGCCAGAAGGCCUUACAAAAUGACAGACCUGCUGGCCUCUACAAUCAUGUGACCCAGUUCCUUAAAAUCAAUCUUUCUCUCUCUCUCUCUCUAUAUAUAUAUGUACUAAAGAUUUUAUUUCUUGAAGCAAUAAGCUCAACAGUUUUCCUUACAUUUAUUACAUUUAAAGAACAAAGUUGUUUUAAUAGAUUUGAUAUUAUUAGUUAACAACAAUUAACUGCAUAUAUUCAGAAGGCAAAAUUAAAGUAGUUUUCACAUAGGUAUUAUACACUUGUGAGAUUACGGCUACAAUUAAGAUAAUGAAUAUUAUCUAUCACCCCCACAGGUUUCCCAGUACUCCCAGAAUACAUUUUUAAAAGAAAAAUUGGAUUCAACUUAAUACCUUCCUUUGUGAACUUUCUCCAGUUCAUAAUAUAGAGGGUAAACAAUUUUUCUCACUAUCAUUUAAUUUUUACAUAAUUUUAAGAGCUAUAUAGUAUUCCACAGUAAUAAUAUGCCCUAGUUCUGUUUAAGAAUCCUUCCUUGUCAACUCCUGCAGCUCAAUUCCAGAAAAAUAAAUGACCCAAUCAAAAAAUGGGCCAAAGAACUAAACAGACAUUUCUCCAAAGAAGACAUACAGAUGGCUAACAAGCACAUGAAAAGAUGCUCAACAUUUCUCAUUAUUAGAGAAAUGCAAAAUCAAAACCACAAUGAGGUACCAUUACACACCAGUCAGGAUGGCUGCUAUCCAAAAGUCUACAAGCAAUAAAUGCUGGAGAGGGUGUGGAGAAAAGGGAACCCUCUUACACUGUUGGUGGGAAUGCAAACUAGUACAGCCACUAUGGACAACAGUGUGGAGAUUUCUUAAAAAACUGGAAAUAGAACUGCCAUAUGACCCAGCAAUCCCACUUCUGGGCAUACACACCGAGGAAACCAGAUCUGAAAGAGACACGUGUACCCCAAUGUUCAUCGCAGCACUGUUUAUAAUAGCCAGGACAUGGAAGCAACCUAGAUGCCCAUCAGCAGAUGAAUGGAUAAGGAAGCUGUGGUACAUAUACACCAUGGAAUAUUACUCAGCCAUUAAAAAGAAUUCAUUUAAAUCAGUUCUAAUGAGAUGGAUGAAACUGCAGCCCAUUAUACAGAGUGAAGUAAGCCAGAAAGAUAAAGACCAAUACAGUAUACUAACACAUAUAUAUGGGAUUUAGAAAGAUGGUAACCCUAUAUGCAAAACAGAAAAAGAGACACAGAAGUACAGAACAGACUUUUGGACUCUGUGGGAGAAGGCGAGGGUGGGAUGUUUUGAGAGAACAGCAUCGAAACAUGUAUAUUAUCUAGGGUGAAACAGAUCAUCAGCCCAGGUUGGAUGCAUGAGACAAGUCCUCGGGCCUGGUGCACUGGGAAGACCCAGAGGGAGCGGGUAGAGAGGGAGAUGGGAGAGGGGAUCGGGAUGGGGAAUACAUGUAAAACCAUGGCUGAUUCAUGUCAAUGUAUGACAAAACCCACUACAAUAUUGUAAAGUAAUUAGCCUCCAACUAAUAAAAAUAAAUGAAAAAAAAAAAAAGAAUCCUUCCUUGUUAGAUAACUGUUUCUAACAUUUUGCUACUAUAAGCAAUGCCACAAAGAACAGUUUCACAGCUUAAUCUAUAUAAAGUCAUGAUUACUUCUUUAUAUGCUUCUUUUGAAAAAAGUUAAUUUAUUGGUGACGCUGGGUCUUCCUCACUGUGCACGGGCUUUCUCUAGUUGCACUGAGUGGGGUCUACUCUUCGUUGCGGUGCAUGGGCUUCUCGUUGUGGGGGCUUCUCUUGUUGCAGAGCACAGGCUCUAGGCACACGGACUUCAGUAGGUGCAGCACAUGGGCUAAAGUAGUUGUGGCUCAUAGGUGCUAGAAGUCUGGCUUAGUAGUUGUGGCACAGGGGCCUAGUUGUUCCGAGGCAUGUGGAAUCCUCGCAGACGAGGGACUGAACCUGGGGCCCCUGCAGGGGCAGGCAGAUUCCUAUCCACUGUACAACCAGGCAAGUCCCCUUAUAUGGUUCUAAAAAUAGAACAGCUGAUUUAUAGGACACAUUAUCUUUUAAGAAAUAAUUAUUAUAAUAUCAACAUCAAAUAUUUACACAUCAUUUAGUAUGUGUCACACACUCUACCACGCCCUUAACUAUGCUCUGAAAGUUAUACCAAUUUUCACUCUCAAGUAUUACAUAAACAUACUCAUCUAUGAUCCUAUCAAUAAGUUCUUUAAAAAUCUCUGCCCUUCCCCAAAUGAAGCUCAAUGUAAUUCCAGUCAAAUCUCCAUACUGGUAAGUUUUCACAUCUCAUCUCCACCCAAAUGCAUAAAAAUACAUAAGACCUUCUUGUAAGGGGGAAAGGAGAAGAAACCUUUAUUUACAGAAAUUAAAAGGUAAUAUAAGGUUGCAAUAAUUGAAGCAAUGUGGUAUGGUAGCAGAACAUGCAAAAGGGUCAAUAAAACAGGAGAGCCCAGAACAUAAGGGAACUUGAUUAAAGAUGGCAGAAGAGAAUAAAAUAAAACUGAUUUAAAUAUCUAAAAAUUUGAAACUAAAACAGAAGUUGAAAAAAACUUCAGAAAAACAUUCUCAUAAUUUUCUAGAAGGCUAGGCAUAAGACAAAUCACUCUCCCACAAAAAGCCCCAAACUGACAGAAUGACCAUAUAUAAAAUAUAAAUUAACAAAGAACAUAGAAAAAGUUAAAGGCAAGCAACAGAAUGGGAAAAAUUAACUAGGAUAUGUGAAACACAUGAAGCAUUAACAUCUAUAUUUUAAUAAAUCUCCCCAGAUGGUAAGAAAAUGUCAAAGGAACAAGCAAUUCACAGAAGAAAUGGCAAAAAACAUGAAAAACAUAUUUAACCUCACGAGUAACAAAAAAGUAUUAUUUCUCUUCUGAGUUGGACAAAAAAUGUAAAAUCAAUAAUGAACUGUGACUCAUUAAACAAGGCAAUCACACAAAAUUAUAAUGAAUAUGUAAAAUGGUAUAAGCUUAUAUGUUAAUUUGGCUGUAAUUAAACAUUAAAAAGCUGUAUCAUUUAACCUAACAAAUCCACUUUUAAGAAUGUAUCUACAGAAAGACUCAAGAAAUAUACAUAGAUUUACAUUUAAUGGUAUUUGAUAAAACAUUACUAAUAGAAGCUAAAAACCAAUAACCUCAAUGCCUAUUUACAGGGGAAAGUCUAAUAAAAUACAUCCAAAUUACAAAACUACAGAACAAAAAUGGCUGUAUGAUAUAGGAAAAAUGUCUAUUUCACAGAAUAUUGACUAUGUCAACUUAAUGAUUAAAUAAGGUGUACACUUUUUCACACACACAAAAAUGCCUGCAAAGAAACUAAAAUGAGGGAGCCACUUGGCAUCUCUUUGCUGUGCUGUGCUGUGCUAGCCACUCAAUCAUGUCCAACUCUGUAACUCCACGGACUGUAGCACACCAGACCCCUCUAUCCAUGGGAUUCUCCAAGUAAGAACACUGUAGUGGGUUGUCAUGCCCUCCACCAGGGCAUCUUCCCAACCAGGGGAUCAAACCCUGGUUUCCCACACAUUUCUGAUAGAUUCUUUACCGUCUGAGCCACCAGGAAAGCCUUUAUUGUUGGCCAAAUGUCAGAGCAUCUAUGUCCAUGUCUCUAUUCUACUCAUUUAUGUUCUUUUCUUCUACAUUUCCAGGGCUUUAAUUCACCAGAUAAGUUAUUUUUUUAUAAUUCUAUGAAGAAUUAUAAAAAUUUAAUUUUUAUAAUUAAAUUUACCAGUUUUUGACGGGUAAAAAAAAUAUCUUGUACUUAAAUUACGUUUCCUUUAUGUAUGUGUGUGCUCAGUGGCUCAGUCAUAUCUGACUCGUCGACCCCAUGGAGUGUUGUCUGCCAAGACUCUGUGUCCAUGGGAUUUUACAGGGCAAGAAUACUGAAGAGAGUUGCCAUUUCCUAUUCCAGGGGAUCUUCCCAACCCAGGGAUCAAGUCCACGUCUCCUGCUAAAUAUUUUUGCUAAUAUUGACUAGAAAUUAUUGGGGUUUUGGUCCUGGUUUAUGUUGUCUUUAGUAAACCUUUUCUGAGCUAUAAAGGAAAACUAUGCCUAUAUGUUAAAAAGAACACUGAUGCCACAGAUAUUUCUUUUAAACAUGAGAUACACCUCUAAAAAUAUGACACAUGACAUAGUACCUUCCAAAUUCCAACAAAUGACUUUCAACAAAAUUCUCCACACAAAUGAAAAGAAGAAAUCUGAAAGUCUUAUGUAGUAAUUGCAUGAUUAUCAACUAUUAUAUUAAGUCUCUUCUAUAACAUUCACUUUAAGAGUGACAUACUAGUAUGUAGGCUGACACUACAGUAAGCAUAAAAAAUGGUAAACUACUACAGAGGUGAAAAUACUUCACAUAUCUCAUUUAAGCUUCACAAUUACUCAAAAAGUAUUAUCUCCUUGUAACACAGGGGCUCAAGGACACUAAAUAAUUUGCCCAUUAUCACACACCUACUAAAUGGCAAGAGUAAAACAAUCCUUCAGCCUGAGUGCCCCAUCCCCUUUUCAUCAUGAAGCAAAAUGGGUUAUUUGCUUUCUCAGUGAGGGCUCAAAAACCACAGAGCAAUCUAACAGCUGUCUUUUAGUUCACUCCCUUUCCCCACCACAGAAUUUAACUGCAGAAUUCUUUCAGCUUACUGACAGCCAUAGCAUUCUAUGGCUUCUGCAACUGGCAUCUGUCCUACUGCCUGCUACUGAGUUUUUACGCUUUUGACUUCCUUUUGGCUGCCUGGGUUUGAUACAACCAAAGAACUCUGGGGCUUGCUUCCCAGGUGGUGCUAGUGGUAAAGAACCCAUCUGCCAAUGCAGGAGACUUAAGAGACAUGGGUUCAACCCCUGGGUCAGGAAGAUUCCCUGGAAAAGGAAAUGGAAACCCACUCCAGUAAUCUUGCCUGGAGAAUCUCAUGGGCAGAGGAGUCUGGUGAGCUACUGUCCAUGGAGUCGCAAAAAGUCAGACACGGCUGAAGUGACUGCGCACAAAAAAUUCACUUUUUAACUUCUGGUGAAUUAACCAGUCAAUCACAGCUGGUCAGAUGUGACAAGUUUUUUACUCUUCUUAACAACUUUAAUAAUUAGAGACUAUUUUUAAGCUUUCAGGAAAGUUUCUUUACUUCAACUUCUGGGUCAGCACCAUUCCUGAUAUCUGAUCUCCACAUGGUCAAGUUUCACUAAAGACUAAAACUAACAUAUUCAUUUCUCCCAAACAUCUACCCUCUGUGCUUGGUUAAAAGCAAUUAUUGUAUUAUUGAUCUAUUUCUGCCCUCACAAUCAACCAAGCUAUGAUAACAGCAAACGACUGUGUGGUUACUAUGUGCAAAUGUCUAGAUUUAGCACUUCACAGUUUGUCUCAUUUGAUACAACAAACCCAUGAGUUAGAUAUUAUAUCAUUUUCCAGGUGAGGAAAACAGAGAGGACAUAAUAGUGCAAGAAGCACAGAUUCCAACUAUGCUCUCAACCAUUACACAUAGUUCCCAUUACUAUUACCUUAUAACAUCUGCCUCAAAAUAACCUAUUUCUUAUUCAGCUAUUCAGGCAAUAAUGGCAGGGAAACGGAAUCCCCACACCCCUUCCACGUCCACCUACCCCUUACCUACUUUCCUACAGAUUCCUUUCAAACAACUGACAUUCCUCUUGCCAUACAUCACCUCCUAAUGGGUACCUACACAUUCUGAUCUAUGUACGUUACCUCUAAAUUUCAACACAUGAGGCUAACUCUUUAUUUCCUGUAACUCAAAGAAGGAAGUCAUUACUAGUUAAGAUUUUGAUUUUUUUUUUCCUUUAAAAGCACUAUUUGUGUUUUAUUGAUGUAAUAACUAAAAGCACCUUCCUAUAACUUUUACUGAUCAUGCAAAAUUCACAAUCAUGAAAGGUUCAUUUAGUUAUUCUGGAACAAAAAACAAUACAGUAUUUGUUUCAUAAAUAUUUUUCUCCUCAAUUCAACUCAACAAACACUAAGCAAUAACAUAAGAAACACACCAUGAGCAAGAAAACCAGAUCGCAGGAUACUUUUCAUAUAAAUCACUAAAAAGAUGAACAGUCAAGAUGGCCAUCAUUAAAAAGUUUACAAAUAACAAAUGCUGGAGAGGGUGUGGAGGAAAGCGAGCCCUUCUCCACUGUUGUUGGGAAUGUAAACUGAUGCAACCACUAUGGAGGAAAGGGCCAGAGGUAGUAUCAAUCAUCAAUGGCCAAUAAGUUAAUAAUCAAUUUUGGCUAUAUAACGAAGCCUGCAUAAAAACAAAACAACAGCCAACCAAAAAAUGGGGGCCUAGGGUUUUCAACAGUUUUCCCCUUUAGGGAAGCAGUAUGCUUCCCUGUGUACCAUGCCAGACCCUAAGCUUCACAAAGACAGAAACUCCCCCUUUUGGACCCUAUGUAUCUGUUCAUCUGAUUGUUGAUUCAUAUCACUUUUAAUGUAAAGUUGUAACAAAUCUGUAAUCCAGUGAAUAAAUGAAUUUCCCUGAAUUCUUUGAGCCAUUAUAGCAAGUUAAAUGAGCCCAAGGAGUGGGUUGGGGAAACUUCUGAUUUAUAGCUGGUUGGUCAGAAGUGCUGGUAACAACCUGGAAUUGUGACCAGCAUCUGAAGUAGAGUGCAGUUUUGCGGGACUGAGUCCUACACCUUUGGAAUCUGCUUCUACCUUCCAGUAGACAGUGUCAGAACUGAGACACCAGCAGGGUGCUUUAAGAA